Molecule: transfer RNA, 77 nt
Filed under: Candidatus Nomurabacteria bacterium
Lineage: Bacteria; Candidatus Nomuraibacteriota
Description: tRNA-Pro
Rfam family: tRNA
About the family: Transfer RNA (tRNA) molecules are approximately 80 nucleotides in length. Their secondary structure includes four short double-helical elements and three loops (D, anti-codon, and T loops). Further hydrogen bonds mediate the characteristic L-shaped molecular structure. tRNAs have two regions of fundamental functional importance: the anti-codon, which is responsible for specific mRNA codon recognition, and the 3' end, to which the tRNAs corresponding amino acid is attached (by aminoacyl-tRNA synthetases). tRNAs cope with the degeneracy of the genetic code in two manners: having more than one tRNA (with a specific anti-codon) for a particular amino acid; and 'wobble' base-pairing, i.e. permitting non-standard base-pairing at the 3rd anti-codon position.
Source: RNAcentral
CUGGGCGUGGCGCAGUCUGGUAGCGCGCGCGGUUCGGGACUGCGAGGUCGCAAGUUCAAAUCUUGUCGCCCAGACCA